RNAcentral lists this ribosomal RNA (522 nucleotides) under Preussia funiculata. RNAcentral describes it as "eukaryotic LSU rRNA". The stretch from base 147 to 300 matches the Rfam family "5.8S ribosomal RNA". The record is from RNAcentral. Lineage: Eukaryota; Fungi; Ascomycota; Dothideomycetes; Pleosporales; Sporormiaceae.
UGGAACCUCUCGGGGUUACAGCCUUGCUGAAUUAUUCACCCUUGUCUUUUGCGUACUUCUUGUUUCCUUGGUGGGUUCGCCCACCACUAGGACAAACAUAAACCUUUUGUAAUUGCAAUCAGCGUCAGUAACAAAUUAAUAAUUACAACUUUCAACAACGGAUCUCUUGGUUCUGGCAUCGAUGAAGAACGCAGCGAAAUGCGAUAAGUAGUGUGAAUUGCAGAAUUCAGUGAAUCAUCGAAUCUUUGAACGCACAUUGCGCCCUUUGGUAUUCCAAAGGGCAUGCCUGUUCGAGCGUCAUUUGUACCCUCAAGCUUUGCUUGGUGUUGGGCGUCUUGUCUCUAGCUUUGCUGGAGACUCGCCUUAAAGUAAUUGGCAGCCGGCCUACUGGUUUCGGAGCGCAGCACAAGUCGCACUCUCUAUCAGCAAAGGUCUAGCAUCCAUUAAGCCUUUUUUUCAACUUUUGACCUCGGAUCAGGUAGGGAUACCCGCUGAACUUAAGCAUAUCAAUAAGCGGAGGAA